AACGGCUGGCGGCGUGCUUAACACAUGCAAGUCGAACGCGAAAGGGACUUCGGCCUGAGUAAAGUGGCGCACGGGUGAGUAACGCGUAGAUAACCUGUCUUCAUGUCUGGAAUAAUACGCCGAAAGGGGUACUAAUACCGGAUAUUCUUGCUUUUCAUAAGUUAUGCAAGCAAAGGUGGCCUCUGCAUAUGCUACUGCAUGAAGAGGGGUCUGCGUACCAUUAGCUAGUAGGUGGGGUAAUGGCCUACCUAGGCGACGAUGGUUAGCGGGUCUGAGAGGAUGAUCCGCCACACUGGCACUGGAACACGGGCCAGACUCCUACGGGAGGCAGCAGUGAGGAAUAUUGCGCAAUGGGGGAAACCCUGACGCAGCGACGCCGCGUGAGUGAGGAAGGCCUUCGGGUCGUAAAGCUCUGUCAAGAGGAAAGAAGUGUACAAUGGCUAAUACCUGUUGUAUUUGACGGUACCUCUAAAGGAAGCACCGGCUAACUCCGUGCCAGCCGCCGC
This 506-nucleotide ribosomal RNA is filed under the name uncultured bacterium. RNAcentral describes it as "bacterial SSU rRNA". It matches the Rfam family "Bacterial small subunit ribosomal RNA", at positions 35 to 518 of the family's 1533-position model. The record is from RNAcentral.